UCCGUAGGCGGGUAAUUAAGUCAGAGGUGAAAUCCCACAGCUUAACUGUGGAACUGCCUUAGAUACUGGUUAUCUUGAGUUUUAGUGAAGUAGAUAGAAUGUGUAGUGUAGCGGUGAAAUGCAUAGAUAUUACACAGAAUACCGAUUGCGAAGGCAGUCUACUAACUAACAACUGACGCUAAUAGACGAAAGCGUGGGGAGCGAACAGGAUUAGAUACCCUGGUAGUCC
Molecule: ribosomal RNA, 229 nt
Filed under: uncultured bacterium
Lineage: Bacteria
Description: partial 16S ribosomal RNA
Rfam family: Bacterial small subunit ribosomal RNA
Source: RNAcentral